Molecule: long non-coding RNA, 1210 nt
Organism: Lycium barbarum (goji berry)
Lineage: Eukaryota; Viridiplantae; Streptophyta; Magnoliopsida; Solanales; Solanaceae
Exons: 3
Source: RefSeq, a predicted model, not a curated record
AUUUUCCUUUCAUAUUCUCUUGGAAAGAAAAGAAGAGGAGAGGAAAGGGGAAAAAAAAAGAUUUUUUCUGUAAGAAAUUUCAGAUGAUGAUGCUUUUGCAAGAAGAGAGCUACAAGGUCUGUUCAGACAUGUUUUAGCGACAAAUCAGUUGGUCACACAUGAAGAGCGUGAACAUUAAUAGUACUUGAGUUGAAGAAAAAAUCCGUGCAUAGUAAAAACUUCAACAGGACAAUUGUUGGGGGUAGCCCAAGGAAAGGACGACACGAGUAAACCAGCUUUGGAUAAGGAAGGAUCAGCGAUUGGGUUCAAGAAAACUUUUCGUUUUCAUGAAGAAAGUACUACUGGUGUGUACUGGAUUAUGAAAGAAUACAGCCUUAACGAAACCAUAAUGGAGGGGUUAAGACAACAUGGAGAAAUCCGACAUGAAGACUCUAUCAUUACGAGGAAGGUUAGUUUGUGUAAAAAUUCUCAGGAUGUCCCCUCGGGAAUCAAGAAUGUAGCUGCCAAUCCAUGGCCGCUAUAUCCCGCUUUAACUGCACUUCCACCAUUUAAUGGACCUUUUGAGUCCUUAACUGAAGAAGAAUUGGCCUUCUUUGAUAAGCCUGAUCUUGGAUAUCCACAAGCAUACAAGAACAAGAAAGAAUGAUAAGAGUAGAAAGUAUGAACCAUGUAGUAUAUAGCACAUUCAAGUAUGAACCAUGUAGUAUAUAGCACAUUCAACUAUAUAAUCUGCUCGUUAUAGUUAGAAUAUUACAGUUGUUUUAGUUAGACUUAAUACAUAGCUAUACAUCUUAACUUGGCCUCCAAUUUUAAGAAUGCAUAUCUAGACACCUCUCGUGGACACCCAACGCUAACGUGGCACAUAAACUUUGGAGGUUUCUAGAUGAUCAUUUUGUAAGUUGGAGUGUUCAAUUGACACAAUGGAGAGGUGUCUAGAUGAUCAUUUUAUAAGUUGAGGUGUAUAGAUAUGCAUUCUCAAAGUUAAAGUGGUUAGUUGCCAGUUGAGGCCAAGUUUACGUAUCUAUCUAUGUGUCAUGCCUUUAGCUACAUUGUACAAACUUCCAGUGCAUGAGUAAAAGUAUGGACUUUAAUUUGUUUUGCAAGAAGUUUGGAGAAAAGAGGCAUACCAUUGCUUUUGUUUUUUAUACCAGGGAUGCUCAAUUGCAUUAUUUCAAACAUUAAUCAUAAAAUAACUAUGUAAGCUUUUACU